AGAGCGAACGCUGGCGGCAGGCCUAACACAUGCAAGUCGAGCGCCCGUAGCAAUACGGGAGCGGCAGACGGGAUAGUAACACGUGGGAACGCGCCCUUCGGUUCGGAAUAACUCAGGGAAACUUGAGCUAAUACCGGAUACGCCCUUACGGGGAAAGAUUUAUUGCCGAAGGAACGGCCCGCGUCCGAUUAGCUAGUUGGUGAGGUAAUGGCUCACCAAGGCGACGAUCGGUAGCUGGUCUGAGAGGAUGACCAGCAUCACUGGGACUGAGACACGGCCCAGACUCCUACGGGAGGCAGCAGUGGGGAAUAUUGGACAAUGGGCGCAAGCCUGAUCCAGCCAUGCCGCGUGGAUGAUGAAGGCCUUAGGGUUGUAAAGUCCGUUUUAACGGGGAAGAUAAUGACGGUACCGUAGAAUAAGCCCGGCUAACUUCGCGCCAGCAGCCGC
Molecule: ribosomal RNA, 447 nt
Filed under: uncultured bacterium
Lineage: Bacteria
Description: SSU rRNA
Rfam family: Bacterial small subunit ribosomal RNA
Source: RNAcentral